CCUACGGGUGGCUGCAGUAGGGAAUUUUCGUCAAUGGGCGCAAGCCUGAACGAGCAAUGCCGCGUGAACGAGGAAGGUCUUCGGAUCGUAAAGUUCUGUUGAAGGGGAAAAAGAGCGGAGAGAGGAAAUGGUCUCCGAUUGAUAUUACCCUUCGAGGAAGCCACGGCUAACUACGUGCCAGCAGCCGCGGUAAUACGUAGGUGGCAAGCGUUGUCCGGAUUUACUGGGUGUAAAGGGCGUGUAGCCGGGUUGACAAGUCAGAUGUGAAAUCCUGCGGCUUAACCGCAGAACUGCAUUUGAAACUGUUGAUCUUGAGUACUGGAGAGGCAGACGGAAUUCCUAGUGUAGCGGUGAAAUGCGUAGAUAUUAGGAGGAACACCAGUGGCGAAGGCGGUCUGCUGGACAGCAACUGACGGUGAGGCGCGAAAGCGUGGGGAGCAAACAGGAUUAGAUACCCUAGUAGUC
This 465-nucleotide ribosomal RNA is filed under the name uncultured bacterium. Its description in RNAcentral is "partial 16S ribosomal RNA". It matches the Rfam family "Bacterial small subunit ribosomal RNA", at positions 338 to 795 of the family's 1533-position model. The record is from RNAcentral.